This is a non-coding RNA of Schistosoma haematobium, 45 nucleotides long. Lineage: Eukaryota; Metazoa; Platyhelminthes; Trematoda; Strigeidida; Schistosomatidae. The record is from Rfam.
AUGGAGCUGAUGAGUCCUAAAUAGGACGAAAUGCACGUCCUGAAU